GCAUUCAUCACCAACAAGUAUCAAACAACAUCCGAAGCUUAAUCCAAACACCAAAGAAUAGUAAACAAUAAAAUAGAAGAGGAAAAGAGUAGAAUUGGACCUUUCGAUAGUCGAUUUCGUUGAUAAUAACAUUUAAGAAGGCCCAGACUUCAGAACUUGGAACAGAACCUCAACAGAGACGUACGCUGACUCGAUAUAGAAAUUUGAACCCCCAAAGCUGACCUCGACAGACUGAUCGCACGAAAGGAAAAAAAACAGAAACCCAAACUAAAAUCGAACUUAAACUUCAAAACUAGCACCGAGCUCGAUGAACCAAAAUGGAAAUCGCAAUAAGAGAGUUAACAAAUUCGAAAAUCCGAUGGACCCGUCGGAACAGUAACAGGAACAAUGACUGGGUGUUUU
RNAcentral lists this long non-coding RNA (402 nucleotides) under Capsicum annuum. RNAcentral's name for it is "long non-coding RNA (CANN_LNC020188)". The record is from RNAcentral. Lineage: Eukaryota; Viridiplantae; Streptophyta; Magnoliopsida; Solanales; Solanaceae.